This 490-nucleotide ribosomal RNA is filed under the name uncultured bacterium. RNAcentral describes it as "bacterial SSU rRNA". It matches the Rfam family "Bacterial small subunit ribosomal RNA", at positions 36 to 524 of the family's 1533-position model. The record is from RNAcentral.
UGACCUGGCGGCAGCUUACCAUGCAAGUCGAACGAGGUUAGGGAGCUUGCUCCUGAUACCUAGUGGCGAACGGGUGAGUAAUGCUUAGGAAUCUGCCUAGUAGUGGGGGAUAACUAUCCGAAAGGAUAGCUAAUACCGCAUACGACCUACGGGUGAAAGGGGGCUUUUAGCUCUCGCUAUUAGAUGAGCCUAAGUCGGAUUGGCUAGUUGGUGGGGUAAAGGCCUACCAAGGCGACGAUCUGUAGCUGGUCUGAGAGGAUGAUCAGCCACACUGGGACUGAGACACGGCCCAGACUCCUACGGGAGGCAGCAGUGGGGAAUAUUGGACAAUGGGCGAAAGCCUGAUCCAGCCAUGCCGCGUGUGUGAAGAAGGCCUUUUGGUUGUAAAGCACUUUAAGUAGGGAGGAAAAGCUUGUGGUUAAUACCCACAAGCCCUGACGUUACCUACAGAAUAAGCACCGGCUAACUCUGUGCCAGCAGCCGCGGUAAU